CCCUUCUCUGUGUCACAUCUGGAGAGUUUCCAGUGCUCUACCAGUCUCGGCUAUGGGAGGGAUAAUCAAGCAGAGGCCUACCCAUUCCAUUCUUAGCUUGGGCGUUGGCUAACGAAUGGACGGCAAUCUGCUACAAGU
Tachyglossus aculeatus (Australian echidna) is the source of this 138-nucleotide small nucleolar RNA. NCBI's taxonomy places the organism in Eukaryota, Metazoa, Chordata, Mammalia, Monotremata, Tachyglossidae. The record is from RefSeq and is a predicted model, not a curated record.